UUCAUUCGCUCUUCUUAUACAUAUAUAUAUAUUUAUUUUUCUUCUCUUAUUUACAAAAACAUUAUCUUCAUCGGAAAAAUACUUUUAGAACAUUAUUAAGGAAGAUUUAUGUAAAUUUUAAUUUCAUUACGAUAGAUUGAGAAUUGGAAAUUUAUGUAAUUAUUCACAAAGAUAAAUAGAAGUCAUCGAUAUUAUAGAAUUUGUGGGGAAUGCCACCUUAAGAAAAUAUAAAAUUUUCAUACGAACUCCGUUAUUCAGAGAGGUGUUCAAUAAGAUAUCUAAAGAAGAUAAUCGUUUAAUUUUGUUCUAUUUAUUCAUUCAAAAUACCACGCUUGAAACGGAAGCUAUAUACAAACAGAAAUGGACAAAAAGUUCAACAAAAAUUUCAACUGAUUUCAAUUUCCAUUUUAAGAAAUAAAAGGUGAAUAAUCAUUCUCAGUUAGUAAGUUCAGUUCAUUACUUACAGAAGAAGUGCCGCUGCUAUUGUUCCGAGAUGCAUGUUUGCCGUUCGUUGUAAUGUUACAGAGGUACGGUAUCUUGCAUAAAGGACUUGGCUUGGUUUCCGAAGAAUUUCAAUGUUAUUUGUGAAAGGUCAAGGUGACAACAACGAAGAUUCCUAAAUUUCUUGUGUUUAAGACUUUGUUUACAUUUUUAUUUUAUUAAACAUACGAGAAUGGC
Molecule: long non-coding RNA, 678 nt
Organism: Ostrea edulis (European flat oyster)
Lineage: Eukaryota; Metazoa; Mollusca; Bivalvia; Ostreida; Ostreidae
Exons: 2
Source: RefSeq, a predicted model, not a curated record